This is an RNA transcript of Crotalus tigris (Tiger rattlesnake), 2087 nucleotides long. It is a transcript of the gene named hippocalcin, with no coding region annotated. The record is from RefSeq and is a predicted model, not a curated record. Lineage: Eukaryota; Metazoa; Chordata; Lepidosauria; Squamata; Viperidae. The transcript is spliced from 5 exons.
UCCUUCUCGCCCCCCCCCAGGUCCAGCAGCCCCGGCGGGCAGCGCGUGCCGCUCCGGCUCCAGCGGCUGUGAGGAGGCGGCGGAAGAUGCGGCAGGAGUCGCUGGCGCUCGCUUAGCAGCCGUCGCGGUCGUCGGGAUCCCAGCCCUCGGUCAGCUCGCCUCCCGCUUCAGCCAUGGGAAAGCAGAACAGCAAACUGCGUCCAGAGAUGCUCCAAGACCUGCGGGAGAACACCCAGUUCUCCGACCUGGAGCUCCAGGAGUGGUACAAGGGCUUCCUGAAGGACUGCCCCACUGGCAUCCUCAACGUGGAGGAGUUCAAGAAAAUCUACGCCAACUUCUUCCCUUAUGGGGACGCCUCCAAGUUCGCCGAGCACGUUUUCCGCACCUUCGACACCAAUGGCGACGGCACCAUCGACUUCCGAGAGUUCAUCAUUGCGCUGAGCGUCACCUCCCGGGGGAAGCUGGAGCAGAAGCUGAUGUGGGCCUUCAGCAUGUACGACCUGGAUGGCAACGGCUACAUCAGCAGGGAAGAGAUGCUGGAGAUUGUCCAGGCUAUCUACAAAAUGGUCUCAUCAGUGAUGAAGAUGCCAGAUGAUGAAUCAACCCCUGAGAAACGGACGGAAAAAAUCUUCCGACAGAUGGAUACCAAUAAUGAUGCAUAUUACAUUUGAUAAAGAAUAACAAAAAUGAGGUGGCCAGAUGCUGUCCUAAAAAAAAGAUCUUGAAGGCAAACUGUCCCUGGAGGAGUUCAUCAAAGGCGCCAAGAGCGACCCCUCCAUCGUGAGGCUGCUGCAGUGCGAUCCCAGCAGUGCCUCCCAGUUCUGAGCACCUCCCCGCUGCCCAGGGGGCUCUGGAUGAGUCCACCUUCCCAAGCAGCACCCAACUUCACCAGGCACCUCCGAGGAAGUCGCCAGCCUCCUCCCGUUCCUGCUUGGACCUCGGAGCAAGGAGCACCUGCCAGUCUACUGAAUUUUUUCUGACUCACAGAUAUUUUUCCUUUACCCCCUCCCUGAACACUGUAGUUUGGUGUGAAUGUGACACAACGUGGGGUGCAGCCGAGGGGGGUGGUGGCGGCGGCAAAGCCUGAUCCUGAGGACCAGCCGGCCUUCUGUCAGCCCUCCGCUGGCCAAAGGGGCUCCUCGCCCGCAGCUGCCUCUUCCACAGUGCAUACUGCUGGCUCGUGGCCCACUCGUCUUCCCACUGCAGGGCUCCGAAUGUGAGAGCAGCUUUUGCUGGCGAAAGCGAGGUCUGUAGCCCGAGGCUCAAGCUGCAAAUGCCAGCAAAGCCAAAAGGUCAUUGAGAUGGACCCCGGUUUACACCUGGACAACUCCCAGUCAGGCAGCAUAUAAAUUUAAUAGAUUAGCAUAAUAAAUUAUUAAAAUGACAUUAGCCCACCCUUAGCGGCUGGCAGAUCAGUUAUAUAAGCCAAGUACAAGUCCUUGCUUUGCCUUGUUGAGGAUGUUCUCCAUGGAGUAGCCCUGGCAUUUCCAACCAGGAUCUGUGUAAUGCCGAGGAUCAUUGGGAUAAGCGCCCUUAGAGCUGUGCACCUGUCAAAAGUGCUUUGGGGCUGCACCUCUUCUGCACCUCUCUGCUCUCCGCUAAAGCAGCCCUCCUUCCUUUCUUCCGAGGAGCAGAGAAGCACCGGGGGUCCAAAGCCGUUCGUUCCUGCCCAGCUUUGAUCUACAUUCAGUGCCAUUGAAUGCAAACUACCUUAGUCCAUAUGCAGCAGCCCAAAGCAGACCCCCUUAAAAGGAGUCAAAGCUACAGACACCCCCCCCCGCCUUCUGCCCUGCCCUCACCAGAUCCCCUUGCUAGGCCUUUGGGUCUGGCUUGCAGCAUAGGGGGAGGAGGGGUGCAGUCGAUAGUCCAGCCCCCCCCCCACCUCCAGGCAACACAGCACCCCAAAACCGACAGCUUUGGGAGCCGAAGGGAGCUGCCUGAGCACAGAGGAGAGAGAGCAGCCUGCAGAAGCCGCUUGGUGUGAGCUGCCAGCCGGAGCUUCGUGUGAAAAAUGUAUGUGUAGAAUUAUUUGUUGAUUGUUUUACCUGCUUUUCAUUAUAAAACGAUCCCAAUGCAGCCAUGAAAGA